AUUGAACGCUGGCGGAAUGCUUUACACAUGCAAGUCGAACGGCAGCACGGACUUCGGUCUGGUGGCGAGUGGCGAACGGGUGAGUAAUACAUCGGAACGUGCCCAGUCGUGGGGGAUAACGUAGCGAAAGCUACGCUAAUACCGCAUAAGAUCUAAGGAUGAAAGCGGGGGAUCGCAAGACCUCGCGCGAUGGGAGCGGACGAUGGCAGAUUAGGUAGUUGGUAGGGUAAAGGCCUACCAAGCCGACGAUCUGUAGCUGGUCUGAGAGGAUGAUCAGCCACACUGGUACUGAGACACGGCCCAGACACCUACGGGAGGCAGCAGUGGGGAAUUUUGGACAAUGGGCGCAAGCCUGAUCCAGCCAUUCCGCGUGCAGGAUGAAGGCCUUCGGAUUGUAAACUGCUUUUGUACAGAACGAAAAGGCUCUGGUUAAUACCCGGGGCUCAUGACGGUACUGUAAGAAUAAGCACCGGCUAACUACGUGCCAGCAGCCGCCGUAA
RNAcentral lists this ribosomal RNA (500 nucleotides) under uncultured bacterium. RNAcentral's name for it is "partial 16S ribosomal RNA". It matches the Rfam family "Bacterial small subunit ribosomal RNA", at positions 30 to 523 of the family's 1533-position model. The record is from RNAcentral.